AACGAACGCUGGCGGCAUGCCUAACACAUGCAAGUCGAACGAGACCUUCGGGUCUAGUGGCGCACGGGUGCGUAACGCGUGGGAAUCUACCCUUGGGUUCGGAAUAACUCAGAGAAAUUUGAGCUAAUACCGGAUGAUGUCGCAAGACCAAAGAUUUAUCGCCCAAGGAUGAGCCCGCGUAGGAUUAGCUUGUUGGUGAGGUAAAAGCUCACCAAGGCGACGAUCCUUAGCUGGUCUGAGAGGAUGAUCAGCCACACUGGGACUGAGACACGGCCCAGACUCCUACGGGAGGCAGCAGUGGGGAAUAUUGGACAAUGGGCGAAAGCCUGAUCCAGCAAUGCCGCGUGAGUGAUGAAGGCCUUAGGGUUGUAAAGCUCUUUUACCCGGGAUGAUAAUGACAGUACCGGAGAAUAAGCCCGGCUAACUCCGUGCCAGCAGCCGCGGUAAU
This 448-nucleotide ribosomal RNA is filed under the name uncultured bacterium. RNAcentral describes it as "bacterial SSU rRNA". It matches the Rfam family "Bacterial small subunit ribosomal RNA", at positions 29 to 524 of the family's 1533-position model. The record is from RNAcentral.